UACAGCCUGAUCAACCAUGCCGCGUGAGUGAUGAAGGCCUUAGGGUCGUAAAGCUCUUUCGCCUGAGAUGAUAAUGACAGUAUCUGGUAAAGAAACCCCGGCUAACUCCGUGCCAGCAGCCGCGGUAAUACGGAGGGGGUUAGCGUUGUUCGGAAUUACUGGGCGUAAAGCGCGCGUAGGCGGAUUAGUCAGUUAGAGGUGAAAUCCCGGGGCUCAACCCCGGAACUGCCUUUAAUACUGCUAGUCUUGAGUUCGAGAGAGGUGAGUGGAAUUCCGAGUGUAGAGGUGAAAUUCAUAUAUAUUCGGAGGAACACCAUUGGCGAAGGCGGCUCACUGGCUCGAUACUGACGCUGAGGUGCGAAAGUGUGGGGAGCAAACAGGAUUAAAUACCCUGGUAGUCCACACCAUAAACGAUGAAUGCCAUUCGUCGGGUAGCAUGCUAUUCGGUGACACACCUAACGGAUUAAGCAUUCCGCCUGGGGAGUACGGUCGCAAGAUUAAAACUCAAAGGAAUUGACGGAUACU
This 525-nucleotide ribosomal RNA is filed under the name uncultured marine bacterium. Its description in RNAcentral is "bacterial SSU rRNA". It matches the Rfam family "Bacterial small subunit ribosomal RNA", at positions 377 to 921 of the family's 1533-position model. The record is from RNAcentral.